Molecule: long non-coding RNA, 563 nt
Organism: Sander lucioperca (pikeperch)
Lineage: Eukaryota; Metazoa; Chordata; Actinopteri; Perciformes; Percidae
Exons: 3
Source: RefSeq, a predicted model, not a curated record
UAAUAAAAGCAUCUAUCUUAUAUAACCGUAUAAACAUGUAGCUGGCAGUUGUUUUUAUAAAUGUAUUGGUUCAGAGCAACAAUUGAGAAAUUGCAAAGGUUUCAAAUCACACUGAGGCUGUGGUUUGUAGUUGUCACUAAAUAUGUUGAACUUCAAAUACUACUGAUAACCUAUAUUUGCUAUUUCUUUUGGACCAUUAUGCCAAUGUGACUGCAUAUGUAUGUACAAGUUGUUUCUGAAUAACUUCAAAGAAGAAUUUGCUUUAAUAUUAAUACAAUGUGUGAUGGCGUACUUUCGGUUUGUGCUUGAGUGUAUUUUGUCAACGUUUUUUGAUUACCUCUUUUUGCUUACUUUGUGCACCACUGAAGAUAGUAUAUUUAUGUUGACUAUGGUGUAUAAUGGAACUGAUAUUGACACUAGAUUUGGAAAAUGAAGUGAUAAAUUGAUCACCCGUUGAUAAUGUUAGGCUAGGUAACGUUAUUAUAUAUUGUAUGUUUAAGUGUAUGUUAAGUUUAACAAUGCAAAUGCCCAAUGCUGUGAUGCGUAAUACAUUUGUAAAUGUC